AACCUGGUUGAUCCUGCCAGUAGUCAUAUGCUUGUCUCAAAGAUUAAGCCAUGCAUGUCUCAGUAUAAGUCUUUAUAUGGCUAAACUGCGAAUGGCUCAUUAAAACAGUUAUAGUUUACAUGAUGUUCGACUGUUAUAUGGAUAACUGUGGUAAUUCUAGAGCUAAUACAUGCACUAAAGCCCGACUUCUCGGAAGGGCUGUAUUUAUUAGAUACAGAACCAAUACCUUCGGGUUUUUUGGAUGAUUCAUAAUAAACGUACGGAGCGUGUCAGUUUGUACUGGCGCUAAAUCAUUCAAGUUUCUGACCUAUCAGCUUCCGACGGUAGGGUAUUGGCCUACCGUGGCAUUGACGGGUAACGGAGAAUUAGGGUUCGAUUCCGGAGAGGGAGCCCGAGAAACGGCUACCACAUCUACGGAAGGCAGCAGGCGCGC
This 433-nucleotide ribosomal RNA is filed under the name uncultured marine eukaryote. RNAcentral describes it as "bacterial SSU rRNA". It matches the Rfam family "Eukaryotic small subunit ribosomal RNA", at positions 1 to 437 of the family's 1831-position model. The record is from RNAcentral.